ACCUGGCUAACUCAGUCAGGAGAGUAUGCGACUCUUGAUCUCAAGGCUGUGAGUUCGAGUCCCAUGUUGGGUG
This 73-nucleotide transfer RNA is filed under the name Felis catus (domestic cat). It matches the Rfam family "tRNA". From Rfam's summary of the family: Transfer RNA (tRNA) molecules are approximately 80 nucleotides in length. Their secondary structure includes four short double-helical elements and three loops (D, anti-codon, and T loops). Lineage: Eukaryota; Metazoa; Chordata; Mammalia; Carnivora; Felidae. RNAcentral also lists the same sequence under 3 other names. The record is from Rfam by way of RNAcentral.